CCUACGGGAGGCUGCAGUGAGGAAUAUUGGUCAAUGGCCGGAAGGCUGAACCAGCCAAGCCGCGUGAAGGACGAAGGUGCCAAGCAUUGUAAACUUCUUUUGUCAAGGGACAAAAUCAGGCUCGAGAGCCUGACCGAGGGUACUUGAAGAAAAAGCAUCGGCUAACUCCGUGCCAGCAGCCGCGGUCAUACGGGGGAUGCGAGCGUUAUCCGGAUUUAUUGGGGUGAAAGGGUGCGUAGGCGGGGUGUUAAGGCAGCGGGAAAAGCCCGGGGCUCAACCCCGGCGAGCCGUUGAAACUGGCUGUCUUGGGAUGUCGAGAGGUAAGCGGAAUGGGCAGGGUAGCGGUGAAA
This 350-nucleotide ribosomal RNA is filed under the name uncultured bacterium. RNAcentral's name for it is "partial 16S ribosomal RNA". It matches the Rfam family "Bacterial small subunit ribosomal RNA", at positions 338 to 686 of the family's 1533-position model. The record is from RNAcentral.